GAUGAACGCUGGCGGCGUGCCUAAUACAUGCAAGUCGAGCGAACGGACGAGAAGCUUGCUUCUCUGAUGUUAGCGGCGGACGGGUGAGUAACACGUGGAUAACCUACCUAUAAGACUGGGAUAACUUCGGGAAACCGGAGCUAAUACCGGAUAAUAUUUUGAACCGCAUGGUUCAAAAGUGAAAGACGGUCUUGCUGUCACUUAUAGAUGGAUACGCGCUGCAUUAGCUAGUUGGUAAGGUAACGGCUUACCAAGGCAACGAUGCAUAGCCGACCUGAGAGGGUGAUCGGCCACACUGGAACUGAGACACGGUCCAGACUCCUACGGGAGGCAGCAGUAGGGAAUCUUCCGCAAUGGGCGAAGGCCUGACGGAGCAACGCCGCGUGAGUGAUGAAGGUCUUCGGAUCGUAAAACUCUGUUAUUAGGGAAGAACAUAUGUGUAAGUAACUGUGCACAUCUUGACGGUACCUAAUCAGAAAGCCACGGCUAACUACGUG
Molecule: ribosomal RNA, 497 nt
Filed under: uncultured bacterium
Lineage: Bacteria
Description: partial 16S ribosomal RNA
Rfam family: Bacterial small subunit ribosomal RNA
Source: RNAcentral